GUCGAGGGGCAGCGAGUAAAUUGCUUGCAAUUUAUGUCGGCGACCGGCGGACGGGUGCGUAACGCGUAUGCAACCUACCCAUUACAGGGGGAUAACACUGAGAAAUCGGUACUAAUACCCCAUAACAUCAGAGGAGGCAUCUCCUUUGGUUGAAAACUCCGGUGGUAAUGGAUGGGCAUGCGUUGUAUUAGUUAGUUGGUAAGGUAACGGCUUACCAAGACUACGAUACAUAGGGGGACUGAGAGGUUAACCCCCCACAUUGGUACUGAGACACGGACCAAACUCCUACGGGAGGCAGCAGUGAGGAAUAUUGGUCAAUGGACGCAAGUCUGAACCAGCCAUGCCGCGUGCAGGAAGACGGCUCUAUGAGUUGUAAACUGCUUUUGUACGAGGGUAAACGCAGAUACGUGUAUCUGUCUGAAAGUAUCGUACGAAUAAGGAUCGGCUAACUCCGUGCCAGCAGCCGCGGUAAUACGGAGGAUUCAAGCGUUAUCCGGAUUUAUUGGGUUUAAAGGGUGCGUAGGCGGUUGGAUAAGUUAGAGGUGAAAUCCCGGGGCUCAACUCCGGAAUUGCCUCUGAUACUGUUCGGCUAGAGAUCAGUUGCGGUAGGCGGAAUGUAUGGUGUAGCGGUGAAAUGCUUAGAGAUCAUACAGAACACCGAUUGCGAAGGCAGCUUACCAAGCUGAAUCUGACGUUGAGGCACGAAAGCGUGGGUAGCAAAC
This 722-nucleotide ribosomal RNA is filed under the name uncultured bacterium. Its description in RNAcentral is "bacterial SSU rRNA". It matches the Rfam family "Bacterial small subunit ribosomal RNA", at positions 61 to 773 of the family's 1533-position model. The record is from RNAcentral.